UGGGGAAUCAUGGUCAAUGGGCGAAAGCCUGAACCUGCGACGCCGCGUGAGUGAUGAAGGUCGUAAGAUCGUAAAACUCUUUUCAGGGAUCUUAAAGCCUGUCUGUCAACAACAGGCAGGUCUGACUCUCCCUGGAAGAAGCCCCAGCCAACUACGUGCCAACAGCUGCGGUAAUACGUAGGGGGCGCGCGUUAUUCGGAAUUCCUGGGUGUAAAGGGUAUGUAGGCGGCCCUUCAAGUCGCGUGUCAAAGUCCAGGG
This 258-nucleotide ribosomal RNA is filed under the name uncultured prokaryote. Its description in RNAcentral is "partial 16S ribosomal RNA". It matches the Rfam family "Bacterial small subunit ribosomal RNA", at positions 355 to 607 of the family's 1533-position model. The record is from RNAcentral.